Non-coding RNA from Danionella cerebrum, 75 nucleotides. The record is from the annotation of a GenBank genome assembly. NCBI's taxonomy places the organism in Eukaryota, Metazoa, Chordata, Actinopteri, Cypriniformes, Danionidae.
GCAUUUCUGUGGCUCAGUUGGUAGAGCAUUACUUUAACAACACAAAGGUCAUGGGUUUGAAUCCCAGGAAAAGCA